This is a non-coding RNA of Schistosoma margrebowiei, 45 nucleotides long. Lineage: Eukaryota; Metazoa; Platyhelminthes; Trematoda; Strigeidida; Schistosomatidae. The record is from Rfam.
AUCCAGCUGAAGAGUCCCAAACAGGACGAAACGCGCGUCCUGGAU